AAACAUCCAUGUCGUCCAAAGAGACGUCAGCUUCGCAGUCAUAGAAUGUGUUUCUCUCUUCAUUCAUAUCUGUAGUAGGUACAUCAUCAGCAUUUAUUUCUUCAAGAACAUCAGCAGCUGUUUGAGCAUCUUUCCCAGUCGCUCGAUCUCUUGCGUAUAUGGCAGUAAGCUGGUUGUAGUAAGGGAAAGUACGAUGUCUGAA
This 202-nucleotide long non-coding RNA is filed under the name Gossypium barbadense (sea-island cotton). RNAcentral's name for it is "long non-coding RNA (GBAR_LNC014324)". Lineage: Eukaryota; Viridiplantae; Streptophyta; Magnoliopsida; Malvales; Malvaceae. The record is from RNAcentral.